GCAUAUCAAUAAGCGGAGGAAAAGAAACCAACUGGGAUUGCCUUAGUAACGGCGAGUGAAGCGGCAAUAGCUCAAAUUUGAAAGCUGGCACCUUCGGUGUCCGCGUUGUAAUUUGUAGAGGAUGCUUCGGCGAGGACUCCUGCCUAAGUUCCCUGGAAUGGGACGUCACAGAGGGUGAGAAUCCCGUAUGUGGCGGGCGGUCCAAGCCAUGUGAAGCUCCUUCGACGAGUCGAGUUGUUUGGGAAUGCAGCUCUAAAUGGGAGGUAAAUUUCUUCUAAAGCUAAAUACCGGCCAGAGACCGAUAGCGCACAAGUAGAGUGAUCGAAAGAUGAAAAGCACUUUGGAAAGAGAGUUAAAAAGUACGUGAAAUUGUUGAAAGGGAAGCGCUUGCAACCAGACUCGCUCGCAGUUGCUCAGCCCGCCUCUUGGUGGGUGUACUCUUCUGCGAUCGGGCCAGCAUCAGUUCGGGCGGCUGGAUAAAGGUGUCGGGAAUGUAGCACCCUUCGGGGUGUGUUAUAGCCCGGCGCGGAAUGCAGCCAGCCUGGACUGAGGAUCUCGCUUCGGCAAGGAUGCUGGCGUAAUGGUUGUAAGCGGCCCGUCUUGAAACACGGACCAAGGAGUCUAACAUCUAUGCGAGUGUUUGGGUGUCAAACCCAUGCGCGUAAUGAAAGUGAACGGAGGUGGGAACCCGUAAGGGCGCACCAUCGACCGAUCCUGAUGUCUUCGGAUGGAUUUGAGUAAGAGCAUAGCUGUUGGGACCCGAAAGAUGGUGAACUAUGCCUGAAUAGGGUGAAGCCAGAGGAAACUCUGGUGGAGGCUCGCAGCGGUUCUGACGUGCAAAUCGAUCGUCAAAUUUGGGUAUAGGGGCGAAAGACUAAUCGAACCAUCUAGUAGCUGGUUCCUGCCG
Molecule: ribosomal RNA, 907 nt
Filed under: Phyllosticta citrichinensis
Lineage: Eukaryota; Fungi; Ascomycota; Dothideomycetes; Botryosphaeriales; Phyllostictaceae
Description: LSU rRNA
Rfam family: Eukaryotic large subunit ribosomal RNA
Source: RNAcentral